Molecule: long non-coding RNA, 1783 nt
Organism: Mesoplodon densirostris (Blainville's beaked whale)
Lineage: Eukaryota; Metazoa; Chordata; Mammalia; Artiodactyla; Ziphiidae
Exons: 3
Source: RefSeq, a predicted model, not a curated record
GGCCUCUCACUGCUGUGGCCUCUCCCAUUGCGGCGCACAGGCUCCGGACGCGCAGGCCCAGCGGCCAUGGCUCACGGGCCCAGCCGCUCCACGGCACGUGGGAUCCUCCCGGACCGGGGCACGAACCCGCGUCCCCUGCAUCGGCAGGCAGACUCUCAACCACUGCGCCACCAGGGAAACCCCAUUAUUAUAGUUUUUGAUGCAUGCCUUUUAUUUUAAAACUUUGUGUCACCUUGUGUACAGCAGAUGCUUAAUAAAUGUUUAUGAAGAAGAGGCUGAGCACAGUGCUAUGUUUAUGAAGUUGACACCCAAUAAGUAUUUGGGACUGCAGUGGGAGACUGAAGUCCCUCUGGCAGACAGCUCCUGUGCUCUGAGUUUCUGUGCAUUGGACCUGACGGAACCAUGGAUUGGCUCUUCUUUGUGCAGCCCUUUCUGUCUAUUCCAUAUGGCACACACAGCCAUGCUUGGACCACUGCUGAGUGUAGUUGGCAUAUGUUGUUUUUCCUUGCCAGCAUCCAUUCCCUUUUUUGGUUGCUCCAUCUGAUUUUCCUUAGGAAACUCUCCUACUCUUAGUACAAUUGGCUUACUUUUUCUGUCUCCCCCGUUCCUCUUCACUUGAGCACUGCAGGAGUGUACAUGAGACUCAGUAGGUGUAUUUCUCCCUUUGAAAAUUCAGGCCAAUUAAAGUUGGGCCCAGGCCUGCUGAUCAACUGGGAAGGAGCUGUUCUCUUUCUGCUGAGAUUAUCAGCAGAAAAGAUGGUGAAAUCCAGGGCUACCAGGGGCCUAUGAGUGUCACCAACUCAGACCCAGAGAAGAAAAGAGAGUGUCUUAGUCUGUUUGGGCUACUGUAACAGACAUUCUAUAGACUGGGUGGCUUUUAAACAACAGAAAUUUAUUUCUCACAGUUCUAGAGGCUGGGAAGGCUCAAGAUCAAGGCACUAGUAGAUUCAGUGUCUGGUGAGGGCCUGCUUCCUGGUUCAUACACAGCUAUCUUCUCACUGUGUCCUCACAUGGCAGAAGGGGUGAGGGAGCUCUCUGGGGCCUCUUUUAUAAGGGCACUAAUCAUACUCAUGCGGGCUCCAUCCUCAUGACCUAAUCAUCUCCCAAAGGCCUCACCUUCAAAUUCCAUCACAUUGGGGAUUAGGUUUCAACAUACGAAUCUGGGAGAGACACAAACAUUCCAUCUCUAGUAGAGACCAACCCUUAUUGAGUGCCUGGAUCCAUUUAUGUUUAAAGCUAGCAUCACUUCCUGAAUUUUCCAGAUACUUGAGCCAGUAAAUUUCCUUUUAUACUUAAACUAGUCUGAGUGAUGUUUUUAUCAUUCACAAUUAGUUGCUGAUUAAUACCCAGAGGAUUAUCACAGAGGCCACAAAGAUCUAGACAAAAAGUAUUAUACAGAGUUGACACACAGCAGAGUUAGAUUCCCUUCAUGUUGGGACUGUAAGAAUCCAGUUUUCAGGGACUUCCCUGGUGGUCCAUUGGUAAAGAAUCUGUCUUACAAUGUAGGGGAUGUGGGUUCCAUCCGUGGUCAGGGAACUGGGAUCCCACAUGCUGCGAGGGGUAACUAAGCCCGUGCACCACAACUACUGAGCUCGCGCGCCUCAACUAGAGAGCCCGCGUGCUGCAAACUACAGAGCCCACGCACCCUGGAGCCUGCGCACCACAACUACAGAGCCAUGUGCUCUGAAGCCUGCGUGCUACAACUAGAGAGUAGCCCACGUGCCGCAGCGAAAGAUCCUGAAAGAUCCUGCAUGCUUCAACGAAGAUCCCGCGUGCUGCAACU